CUUCUUCUUCUUUGAGCAUGAUUCAUUCAAACUUUUUGUUGGUGUGUAAUGUCCAGCAAGCAACUCGAUUUCUUUGGUGUGUAAUAUAUAGAGGAUCGACGGUGAAUCAGAAGCCAUUUUGCAACUUCUGUGUGACCUUUCAACCCCCAUCCUUUGUUCAGUGAGCUUCACAGCCAUUAAGGCAAAGCUGAUCCUUUUUUUACUAGCCUUACUAAGUGUCGAUGUUUGGGAAGACCUCCUCAAGAACCAAUCUGGUGGAAACCAAGGAGUCGCAAAGGCAAGUGAAUGACCUUAUGGAGAAAGGGCAUAUCAGAGGGAGCAUGAGCCCUUGUGUCCUUUUCGUGUUGUUGGUACUUAAGAAAGACAGUAGCUGGCGAAUGUACAUUGAUUGUAGAGGAAUCAACAAUAUCACAGUUAUGUACCGACAUCCCAUUCCUAGAUUACAUGAUAUGCUUAAUGAAUUGCAUGAUUCUAGCAUCUUUCCUAAAAUUGAUCUUAAGAGUGGAUAUCAUCAGAUUACAAUGAAAGUAAGGGAUGAGUGGAAAACAACAUUUAAGACGAAGCAUAGUCUUUACAAGUGUUAGUUAAGCCAUUUGUACUAACAAAUGCACAUAGUACGUUCAUGAGGUUAAUGAAACAUGUACUUAGAGAUUUUAUAGUUGUUUUGUAGUAGUCUACUUUGAUGACAUUCUGAUUUAUAUCAAGAACCUAGAAAAGCAUGUUAGUCACUUGAAAUAUGUUCUAGAUGUGCUUAGGAAAGAAAAGCUAUUUGCUAAUUUUUAAAAUGCACGUUUUGUACAAACAAUUUUGUCUUCCUAGGUUUUUUGUAAGUGCGAAUGGAAUCAAGGUCGACAAAGAAAAGGUCAAGGCUAUUAAAGAUUGGCCGAGUCCCAAACAGUUUGGUGAGGUGAGGAGCUUCCACGGCCUAGUCGGGUUUUAUAGACACUUUGUUAAAGAUUUUAGUACCCUGGUUGCACCUCUAACUGAAGUUGUCAAGAAAGACAUGAGAUUCGAUUAGGGAGAAGGACAAGAAGAGGUGUUUCAAACCUUGAAAAAUAAGCUAAUCAACGCACCUCUAUCAGUCUUACCUGAUUUUUUGAAAACCUUUGAAAUAGAGUGUGAUGCAUCUGCUAUAGGAAUUGGAUCUGUUUUGAUGAAGGAUAAUAAGCCCAUUGCAUACUUUAAUGAAAAACGCGGAGGAGCUACUCUAAACUACCUAAUGUAUGACAAGGAGCUGUAUGCUUUAGUCCGGGCUUUGCAACAUGGCAACAUUACUUAUGGUUUAAGGAGUUUUUCAUUCAUACUGAUCAUGAGUCUCUCAAGCAUCUAAAAGGACAACAAAAUCUCAUCAAAAAACAUGCCAGGUGGGUCAAAUUCACUGAGACAUUUCCCAAUGUCAUCAAGUAUAAACAAGGUAAGGAAAAUGUAGUUGUUGAUGCAUUUUCUUAUAGGUAGGCCUUGCUCUCUAUUCUUGAUGCUAAGUUUUCGGUUUUGAACAGCGUAAACAAAUAUAUGUAUCUGAUUCUGACUUUAAAGAUGUAUAUUAAUUUUAUGAAAAGUUUGCUAAGGAUAAUAAUAUGGAUCUCUCUUUUAUUACAAUCGCUUGUGCAUGCCUUAUCGUUCUAAUCGAAACUUGCUUGUUAGAGAAGCUCAAAGGGGUGAACUAAUGAGACACCUUGGAAUUAUUAAGACCCUUAAAGUAAUUCAAGAUCACUUCCUGGCCACAGAUGAAGAGGCACAUGGAGAGGAUAUGUCAAAGAUGUGCUACAUGCAAACAUGCAAAGUCUAAAGUUCAACCUCACAGUUUGUAUACUCUAUUACCUAUUCCUAAUCAUCCUUGAACUGAGAUCUCUAUUGAUUUUGUUCUUGGACUAGGAUAAGUAAGGAUUCUAUCUUCGUAGUGGUAUAUAGAUUUUCUAAAAUGGCACAUUUCAUACCAUGUAACAAAACCGAUGAUGCAUCACAUGUAGCUAAUCUGUUCUUCAAGGAGAUUGUCUAUUUGCAUGGCAUGCAAAGGACCAUUGUGACUGAUAGAGAUACAAAGUUUUUAAGUUUCUUUUGGAAAGCAUUGUGGUCUAACCAAGGAACUAAGAUUUUUAUUUUCUACUACAUGUCAUCUGCAUAAUGAUGGGCAAACAGAAGUGGUUUAAGGAACCUUGUCUACAUUGUAGCGUGCAUUAAUUGAGAAGAACCUUAAUUCUUGAGAAGAUUGCUUACCUCAUGUAGAAUUUGCAUAUAACAAUUUUGUUCACUCUGCUUCGAAGUUUUCUCCAAUACAGAUUAUUUAUGGUUUUAACCUUUCAUCUUCUUUGGAUCUAGCCCCUUGGCCUCUAAGUGAAAAGGUAAAUUUAGAUGGGUAAAAUAAGGCUGAGCUUGUUGAACAGAUCCAUGAGAAGGCUAAAAAAAACAAAGAAGAGAAGAUGAAGCAAUAUGUUAGACAAGCCAACAAGGGCCGCCGCAAGAUGAUCUUUAAGGUUGGAGAUCUCGUGUGGGUACGUUUGAGAAAAGAUAGGUUCCCAGUAGAACGAAUCUCUAAACACAUGCCUAGAAUUGAUGGUCCUUUCGAAGUCAUAAAAAUAAUCAGCGUUGAUGUACAAGGUAAAUAUAACAUGAGUCCGAGUUUUAAUGUUGCUGAUUUAGUUCUAUUUCUUGCAAAUGAUCCAGAUUCAACACAUGGUAUUUUCAAAUAUAUGGUAAGUAGUUGAUAUCUCAACAGAGCAAUGGAAAGACAAGAUCUCUUGAUGUAUUGGAUAUGGACGACCACAAGAGCAUUCCUCAAGAUCUAAAACCUCAACAAAUGCCAUAACUUCAAGCAUUGGCUUUAAGUCCAGCCCAAGCUCCAAAGAAUAAGCCAACCAUUGCAAAUUUUGACACUCCUUGUUGUCGUGGAAUGAGAUAUGGUUAGAUUGUUUCAAAACUCUAAGUUCUUGUGGUUAGGAAUGGAGAAUCCAUAUGACCAUUUGGACUCUUUUGAGAGGUUGUGUGACACAUUUAGGAUUGGAGGAGGGCCCCAAGAUAGUAUCAAGCUCAUCUUGUUCCCAUUUUCACUUGGAGAAAAUACAUGCGCAUGGGAGAUAUCACUACCAUCUCACUUAGUCAAGUCGUGGGAUAAUUGCAAGAGGAUGUUUCUUUUAAAGUUCUAUCCCAUACAAUGAACGGUCCAAACUAGUAGAAACAUCUUGAGCUUCAAAACAAGGCAUCUAUGUGACCUUUCAUGAGGCAUGGGACAGACUUAAAGGAUAUACUAGCGAUUGUCCUCAUCAUGGGUUCAACAAGAAGCUAUCCUUAGUAUAUUGUAUUGGGGAGUUGAUAGAGAGCAUAAAUGGACAUUGGAUGUAGCUAGCAAUGGGCGUUUUGCAAAUCUCACGAUAGCACAAGGACAACUACAUGUUGAGAAUUUGGCCAAGAGUAAUAAAAGAUACAAGGAUCAUGAUAUUGAAGCUUGUCAAGAUGAUCAAGGUGAGGUGGAGCUUUGUUUUCAGCAAGAGUUUGUUCCACAAGGCCAAGUAGGUUCUUCAAAGCCUAAAGAGAUGGAAUUGAACAAAUUUUUCCAACAAAUAGACAAGAUGAGAUUAAUACAAGAGUAAAGAGUUCUUACAAAGAUCUCCACACAAAGCAUGAAUUCAUGUCUUCUAAGGUCAAACACUUGGAGAAACAAGGUUCUAAAGAAAGUUCCCUCACUAGUGAACCCAUACUAAAGGGCAAGGAACUAAAGGAUUAUUGUAAUGCUAACUUCUCAAGUAAGGUGCAUUUGUUUGAUGAGAAUGAGGAAGCUAUAAUAGAGGUUGAGAGACUUCUCCAUGGCACCAAAGAUGAGAUUCACCACUUUGAGAUGAAGUAUGUGGGAUCUUGUGAAAUGAAGGAAAGAGGAUCAGCCUCUUGAAGCUUGUGAAAAAAAAAGAAAGAACCUGAAGUAUAGCCUGAUCUUGAGUUCAUUGAUGGUUAGAAAUUCUUUAGUGAUGAUGAGGAUUGAUUGGAACUUCAAUAUUCUACACCAUAAAGAAAGAAGUUUCUUGCAAAGUGGUCCAAUAGAGAGGUGGAGGUCCUAAAGCUAAGAAGAAACCGAGCAAGGCCAAUAAGGAAAAAAAAUUUCUUGACCAAUCUUCCACUAUCAUUCUCAUUCCAUUAACUCAUCAAGAUGGAGUGAUUGAGUAUAAGAUUCAGUGUAGAGGAAGGUCUAAGCCAUUUGCAAAGGUCAAAGCAAUUCUCACUCAAGAACUCAAGGACAAAGGUGAAAAUGGUAUUGAGGAGCUUAUGAGCAAGGCAAUGAGGCUUGAGUUCAAGGAAAUCCAGGGAGUUCCACUACUCUCUCUCUCUCAUUAAAAGGAAGGUAUGAAAAGUCAAAAUUAGUGACUUAAAACAAAGUGUACUUGGAAGACAGUCCCAUGUCUAUCAUUGUAUAUACUUUCUCUUAUUGCUUUCUAGUUAAAUGUUAUGUUUUGGGGAGUCUUGAUCUUUUUGUUGAUUGUGUGCAAGGGGAUUUGAUGGUCUAAGAUUUAACACGUGGUAGAGGAAAACCAAGGCCGUGCACAACUGAUCUGUGGUGAUGCUAAGAUCCUUUGAUGCAUAGACAUCACUCCUCCUCUCCAUUAAACACUCAAGGUAACACUUUAAGACUUAUGUAUAGCAUUUAGUCUCAUUUUCUUUAGAAUUUUGUUUUUCCUCUUUCUCAUGCUUCUAUUACACAAGAGACUCUGUAAUUUGAGUGUGGGGGAGGGAUUUAGUGUUAUAUAACCAUGUUUCUUUGUGUUCUUAUUUUAUAUUCAACAUUUUGAGUCUCAUGCAUUCAUUCAUUAUACAGAAAAGAUAAAAAUUGGUAAUUUUUAAAGUUUUUUAUCAAAAAAAGAAGCAUACAGAUGCAUUUGCAUACUUAGGAUUGAGUAUAGAAUGCAUUUCAUAUAGGUUUUCAUCAUGCAUUGGGAAUAAUGGUUGAUUUUUCCUUGUAGAAUAUCAUUUUACGAAUUUGGUUCAGUGUCCUAGUUAUUAGUUGUUGAUGCAUCUAAUUGAGUUUCAAAUCAAGGAUGAACCCUAUUUGGAUCUUGUGUUUGACUUUUCUUGUCUUAGUUGAAUCAUGUUGUGAUUAGUUCCAAUCCUACUUAAGUGAAAACCUUUAAUUUGUCAUCUUAAUUAUCAGGUUUAUGCAUUUCAUAGUGAAUUCAUGGAUACCAUAUACAUAUUUGGGCUAUCUUCAUCUUGUUACAACUCUUUGUUAGCUCAAAUAGCCAAUUCCCAUCAUUGGAAUGGUUAACAACACCUUAAACCAAUCCUCCUUUCAAGCCACGAUUAGUGAGUCCAUGUAAGGCCUUAUUUUCAAGUAGAGUUGGCAAAACGUGUUGGGUCUAGAGCGAUAAAGGUUUUACAUGUAGGUUCUAGUCCAUCAUCAAUGGCUAGAUUAGGUUAGGCUAUGGGUUGGGAAGUUGUGGUUUAUGAGAAAAAUUGAUGGAGUGUGGUGUGAAAGAGAAAGAUGGGAUUGAAGUAGGGGAAUGAAUCCAAAAGAAAAAAAAUUUUGAGUUAGCAAGUGUUAAAAAAAGCUAUAAGUAUAAUAGCUAGUCUCUCGAGUUAACAAAAAGUAAAGAAAAGAAAAAGAAAGAGACUAGAAGAGUAAAUAAAAGAAAAGAGUUAAGUGUGUAAAGAAAAAGAACCUCUCAAAGUGUUAUGUGCAAGAAGAGCAUUCCCUUAAGGCCUUAGAGAUAAGAAAACAACAAAGGUUGGUUUUUAUCAAGGUAAAAAUGCCUUUGAGAAAGGGUAGCUUAGGAGAAGAAACUUCAUGGCUAGGUUUUUAAAGCAAAUGGGGUAUUGAGUCGAUGUAGGUCUAUCUUUGUAUGCAUCCAUUGCUUUUUACCCUUAGCAUUUUGCUAAAGUCUACUUCUUCUUGAGUGAUCCCUAGCUUGGAGCAACCAGUUACUUGUAUUGGGAUCAUCUUAGUCUCAAGACCAUGUCCCUAGCCAAAUGAAUUCAUUUGUCUUGCAUGAACAUGAUUCACUUGAAAACCUUUAUGAAUUUUAAUGGGUUGGGACUAGGCAUGCUUGUCUAGGCUAAUACUUGAGCUUGAUGCAUUUAUUGAUGGAUAUGGCUAGUUUCUUUUAAGUAGACUCACUUGUUUGCAUCCUAGAACUAGUAAAUUUGGACAUUGAACUUUGAAUUCUUUUAUUGAUAUUUAUGGAUAUGAGUUCACCUUUCAAACCUCUUUAUCACCUUGUUCUUGUUUGUUUUCUUGAUGAAAAGCAAAGGAUAAGUGUGGGGGAGUUGUGGAUAAAAUUUAUCAUGUUUUAUCAUUCAUUUUAGUAUAGUUUUAUGUCUAGUCCAUUCAUUUGAAAGCAUUUCUUAAUAUUUUAAUGUUAAUUGAGUUUAGAUAGGAAUGCAUUAGGUCCAAGUGUGUCUUUGCAUGUUUUGGAUUCAUUCUAGGUACUUUUGGAGAUUUAGAGUGCAUUUGGGCUUGAGAACACUUGAAGAAAUGGUGAAAAAAAUAUGAAGAAUCAGCCAAAACGUGCUCUCGGCAAAUUUCCUUUCCGGAAAAAAGUUUCCAUGGCGAAAACUGCAUCAGGCAUGUACCGCUCGGCCAAAAACCCUUCGCAAAAACACCAGUAUAUGAUUCUCUCGGCCAAAUCUUACACCAGCCGAUGUAUCUAAAAGUUCAUCUGAAACAGGCCCUUUUUACUAUGACUCAGCUUCGACGAUCUUCAUGGAAGUUGAAGGCCAGAGAGUCAUCUUUCCAAUUAAGUUGGUCUCAUGACGUUUGGAGCCUUAGAACGAAAGUUACAGCCGUUGCCGAACACAUAUGUCCUAUCGGUCCGAUUCCGUGCACAAUUUUAUAGUUUGUCAAUUACAUACAAAAAAAUCAAAGUCCAAUAAAUCUAUUUACUGUACCUGCUCCACAAGGUAUAUAUGUACUUUAUCAAAAGUUUUAUUUCUAAAAUUGUAUAUUAUUCAUUUUUAAGGUGAUUUAAUUUUGUUUUGUUUUUAUUUUUUUAUCAAAUAUAAACGCUCAUAUAUAUGUGGUCCUAAUCUAGUUUAUAAUAAUCCUUUGUCAUAAAAUUAAAUCUUUUAAUAAUUUCUCUAAAUAUAUAAAUAAUUGGAAAAAUGUGUUAUUUAAUCUGAUGUACAGACCUUCAAAAUUAUUUAAUCUCAUUGUUAGGAGAAACCAAUAUUGUACACUGUUAAAACUGUAGAUAUUUUGGUAAAAAUUGCAGUAAACCCGAGACAAAGAGGCACGAACAAAGGAGUGAAAAAAAGGAGGGGACAUGUGAUGCGAUAUAGCGAUGGGUCAUCGAGGGAAUCUUGUAUUCUUAUGAUAAUUGCCAACCAUGCUUAUUUUGGGUCUUCUCUUCUUAUUGCAGAAGUAGCCCCCAUGUUCACGUGAUCCCUUCUUCCCAUUCUUGCUCUAUAUAUUCAUAUACCCUUUCUUAUAUUUCCUCCACGUACACUUCUCAACAUGGACUCAUCCAAACUCUCAUUGCUCUCUCUCUGUCUCCUCAUUUGCAUUAUCUGUUCUCCCCAACACUCACUCUCAUGCGGUUCCUGCAACCACCAGAAGGGCGGAUUACCCUCAAUUAAACCCCCUGUCACCAUUCCCAAGCUUCCUGUUCCUCCGGUUACUGUUCCUAAGGUACCCGUUCCUCCAGUAACUGUCCCUAAUCUACCCGUUCCUCCUGUAACUGUUCCAAAGCUACCUAUUCCUCCGGUGACCGUACCUAAACUUCCAGUUACCGUACCUAAACUCCCAGUUCCUCCGGUGACAGUCCCUAAGCUACCCAUUCCGCCAGUGGCCAUUCCAAAGGUACCCGUUCCUCCAGUUACUGUCCCAAAGGUACCUGUUCCUCCUGUGACUGUCCCUGAGCUUCCACUUCCUCCAGUGGGCGGGCUACCCACAUUGCCACUACCACCAUUAC
Molecule: long non-coding RNA, 7889 nt
Filed under: Eutrema salsugineum
Lineage: Eukaryota; Viridiplantae; Streptophyta; Magnoliopsida; Brassicales; Brassicaceae
Description: long non-coding RNA (ESAL_LNC001873)
Source: RNAcentral